GCCGGGAUUGCCUAGCCUGGUAGGGCGAUGGCUUGCUAAGCCAUUGUCUGGCAACAGACUCGUGGGUUCAAAUCCCACUCCCGGCG
RNAcentral lists this transfer RNA (86 nucleotides) under Candidatus Methanomethylicus mesodigestus. RNAcentral describes it as "tRNA-Ser". It matches the Rfam family "tRNA". Rfam says of the family: Transfer RNA (tRNA) molecules are approximately 80 nucleotides in length. Their secondary structure includes four short double-helical elements and three loops (D, anti-codon, and T loops). The record is from RNAcentral. Lineage: Archaea; Thermoproteati; Thermoproteota; Methanosuratincolia; Candidatus Methanomethylicales; Candidatus Methanomethylicaceae.